Molecule: long non-coding RNA, 1508 nt
Filed under: Homo sapiens (human)
Lineage: Eukaryota; Metazoa; Chordata; Mammalia; Primates; Hominidae
Description: novel transcript
Source: RNAcentral
ACAGUAAGAUCAUAGCUUCAGGACCUAAGUAGCUCCUGGGGAUGGGAAAGAGAUGACUGACUGAGGUGGUUGAUGGGAUUCUUACAGGACCCCACUGGAAAUCGGACUGUUCAACUCACCUGGCAUCCACUCCCAGAGCCCCUGGAACUCUGGCCCAAGGCUCUCUGACUGACUUCUUCCCAGAUCUUCUCGGCUUAGCAGCUGAAGACUGACGCUGCCCGAUUGCCUCAGAAGCCCCGUAGACCAUCAUGGACGCCGAGCUUUAGCAACAAAGCACCAUCUUGGAAGCAGAGAGCCACCCUCACCAGAACUGAAUGCAGGCACCGUGACCUUGAACUUCCCAGCCUCCAGAACUUGCUGCCAGGACCUGCAGAACUCCAGAUGGAUUCCCCUGGCUGACACUUGAAAGAUUUUUGCUCUAACUUAAUAGAAAUGACAGACUGGCAAAGCCAUAGUUAAAUCAGCUGGAGGAGCCACAAAUCAAAUCAUCUUUACAGAAAGAUGUGAGUGCACAUGGAAAUUUAUGGAGUCUCUCAGCAUUGUAGAAGAGCCUCUGUUUCUUCUCACUGGUUCCUGUCCUCCUCAGCUUGGUAUAUAACUCCUGAGGGCUGAAUACCUGGUUGCUGAAGGAUCCAGUCCCUGCCCUAUAACCGAGGAAGAAUUUCUACUUCCCCUUCCUGUCCAGAAGUGAUAUUCCCAGAUGAAGUGAGAAAUUAUAUGCUCUCUGGGAAAUGGCUAUCUGCAAAGACUUGUGGCAUUCUACUUUCUGGAUAUAUUGCCUUAUGUCUGGCAAACUGUACUGAUUAAAACUUUGAACAGAAGAAGGAAAAACUAAUUUGGAAGGGCUAAUCAAGACUCUCCAUAGUCCAAAAGGGAUGAUUUCUCAGUUGUGCAGAGAACCAAUAAACCUCCAUCCUGAGGACAAAAGUAAUUUUGUGAAACUGCAUGAAGUUUCUCUAGAGAGAGAGACUUCACAAAGCCCAGUGGUCACAGCUGUGCAGUGGAACCGAACUACUUUGAAUCUCUGCCAUCAAAGGAAAGAAUCUCAGGAUUUUCUGCUACAGAAGCAUGAUCGUGUUUAAAUUCUUAAAAUGCUGCAUUAGCAAGAAUUCUCCACAGAAACAGACUCUCUCUCUAGAGUUGAGAGAGAGAGAGAGUUAAUAUAGGAAUUGGCUCAUGGGACAAUGGAGGCCAAGAAGUUCCAGAAUCUGAUGUCUGCAAGCCAGCAAACAAAGCCAAUAAUGUAAUUUAGUCUGAGUUCAAAGGCCCAAGAAUGGAGGUACUGAUGGUAUAAUUCCUGAUCUGAGUCUAAAGGCCCAAGAACCAGGAACACUCAUGUUAACAGAAAAUGAAUAGGCCAGGUGCAGUGGCUCACACCUGUAAUCCCAGCACUUUGGGUGGCUGAGGCCGGCAGAUCCAUCGAGGUCAGGAGUUUGAGACCAGCCUGACCAACAUGGUGAAACCCUGUCUCUACUAAAAAUACAAAAAUUAGCUAGAUAUGGUGGUGU